Molecule: ribosomal RNA, 497 nt
Filed under: uncultured bacterium
Lineage: Bacteria
Description: partial 16S ribosomal RNA
Rfam family: Bacterial small subunit ribosomal RNA
Source: RNAcentral
GACGAACGCUGGCGGCGUGCCUAAUACAUGCCAGUUGAGCGCUGACGCUUGGUACUUGUACCAACUGGAUGAGCAGCGAACGGGUGAGUAACGAGUGGGGAAUCUGCUUUUGUGUGGGGGACAACAUUUGGAAACGAAUGCUACUACCGCAUAAAAACUUUAAACACAAGAUUUAAGUUUGAAUGAUGCCAUUGCCUCACUCAAAGAUGAUCCCGCGUUGUAUUAGCUAGGUGGUGAGGUAAAGGCUCACCAAAGCGGUGGUACAUAGCCGACCUGAGAGGGUGAACGGGCACAAUGGGAAUGGGAAAAGGCUCAAACUUCCAAGGGGGGCAGCAAGAGGGAAUCUUCGGCAAUGGGCGAAAGGCUGGCCCAGCAACGCCGGGGGAGUGAAGAAAGGUUUUGGAGCGGAAAACUCUGUUUGUAGGGAAGGACGUGGGGGAGGGUGGAAAGCUCAUCAAGUGACGGUAACUACCCAGAAAGCGACGGCUAACUACGUG